AACGAACGCUGGCGGCGUGCUUAACACAUGCAAGUCGAACGCGAAAGGGACUUCGGUCCUGAGUAAAGUGGCGCACGGGUGAGUAACGCGUAGAUAACCUGUCUUCAUGUCUGGAAUAAUACGCCGAAAGGGGUACUAAUACCGGAUAUUCUUGCUUUUCAUAAGUUAUGCAAGCAAAGGUGGCCUCUGCAUAUGCUACUGCAUGAAGAGGGGUCUGCGUACCAUUAGCUAGUAGGUGGGGUAAUGGCCUACCUAGGCGACGAUGGUUAGCGGGUCUGAGAGGAUGAUCCGCCACACUGGCACUGGAACACGGGCCAGACUCCUACGGGAGGCAGCAGUGAGGAAUAUUGCGCAUGGGGAAACCCUGACGCAGCGACGCCGCGUGAGUGAAGGAAGGCCUUCGGGUCGUAAAGCUCUGUCAAGAGGAAAGAAGUGUACAAUGGCUAAUACCUGUUGUAUUUGACGGUACCUCUAAAGGAAGCACCGGCUAACUCCGUGCCAGCAGCCGC
RNAcentral lists this ribosomal RNA (509 nucleotides) under uncultured bacterium. Its description in RNAcentral is "bacterial SSU rRNA". It matches the Rfam family "Bacterial small subunit ribosomal RNA", at positions 29 to 518 of the family's 1533-position model. The record is from RNAcentral.